Molecule: ribosomal RNA, 292 nt
Filed under: uncultured bacterium
Lineage: Bacteria
Description: partial 16S ribosomal RNA
Rfam family: Bacterial small subunit ribosomal RNA
Source: RNAcentral
GUGUCAGCCGCCGCGGUAAUACGGAGGGUGCGAGCGUUGUUCGGAAUUACUGGGCGUAAAGCGCGUGCAGGCGGCCGACUAAGUCAGGUGUGAAAGCCCGGGGCUCACCUCCGGAAGUGCGCUUGAAACUGGUCGGCUAGAGUACGGGAGAGGGAAGCGGAAUUCCUGGUGUAGCGGUGAAAUGCGUAGAUAUCAGGAGGAACACCGGCGGCGAAGGCGGCUUCCUGGACCGAUACUGACGCUGAGACGCGAAAGCGUGGGGAGCAAACAGGAUUAGAAACCCUCGUAGUCC